ACAGGUCCUUGAGGGAGAUGGAGGGAUAAAUAACUUUGUGUGGUGAUAUGUUACAGGUCCUUGAGGGAGAAGGAGGGAUAAAUAACUUUGUGUGGUGAUAUGUUUCAGGUCCAUGAGGGAGAUGGAGGGAUAAAUAACUUUGUGUGGUGAUAUGUUACAGGUCCUUGAGGGAGAUGGAGGGAUAAAUAACUUUGUGUGGUGAUAUGUUACAGGUCCUUGAGGGAGAUGGAGGGAUAAAUAACUUUGUGUGGUGAUAUGUUUCAGGUCCUUGAGGGAGAUGGAGGGAUAAAUAACUUUGUGUGGUGAUAUGUUACAGGUCCUUGAGGGAGAUGGAGAGAUAAAUAACUUUGUGUGGUGAUAUGUUACAGGUCCUUGAGGGAGAUGGAGGGAUAAAUAACUUUGUGUGGUGAUAUGUUACAGGUCCUUGAGGGAGAUGGAGGGACACACCAUCAGAGGAGAAGCAGGAGCCAUCUGGGAACAUGGGUUAUGCAUGCUGGAUGCACGCAAGCACACACACAUGCAGGCAUGCUCACACACACACACAAACAAACGCGCCCACACACACACAAAUGCACACACACAUGCAGAUGAACACGCAAAUACAGAAAAAACACAUUCAUUUUUACAAGUGAAUUAUUCCAAAAACACAUGUUUUCAUGUGAUCACAUGUUAAGUUAAUGUGAUAACGUGAUCUUAUUUGAAGUUAACGUGAUAACGUGAUCUUAUUUGAAGUUAAUGUGAUAACGUGAUCUUAUUUGAAGUUAAUGUGAUAACGUGAUCUUAUUUGAAGUUAAUGUGAUAACGUGAUCUUAUUUGAAGUUAAUGUGACAACGUGAUCUUAUUUGAAGUUAAUGUGAUAACGUGAUCUUAUUUGAAGUUAAUGUGAUAACGUGAUCUUAUUUGAAGUUAAUGUGAUCACGUGAUCUUAUUUGAAGUUAAUAUGAUAACAUGUGACAACAUGUGACAUGGAACUGCACAUGUGAAAAGGUGAUUACACGUUACAUUUCUCAUGUGUUUUUUCUGUGAGGGACACACACAAUAUCACCUUGUACAUGAAGGAUACAACAAAUAUAUUCUAUUUAACCAUGUGUGUAUCACUGUAACAGCUUAAAUAAAGGAUAUGUUGUAAUGAUGAUACAUCUUAUAAACAGCUACAGUAAUUCUAUCUGCUUUGUAUUGUGUAUUGAAUUGUUGGGUUGUAAAAAUACUGAAAUGUAUUAUCAUUGAUUCAUUAUUUCUGUCAUUCAGAUAAUAGAAUAACAUAUUUUGUAUAUGAAUGUCACAUAUACAUGUUUGCUUCUAGUGACCUCUACUUUUACAAUAACUUUGCAUCAUGCUUUUAAAUAAACAUUACAUUUUUUAUCCACCA
This is a long non-coding RNA of Oncorhynchus nerka (sockeye salmon), 1369 nucleotides long. RefSeq lists it as uncharacterized. NCBI's taxonomy places the organism in Eukaryota, Metazoa, Chordata, Actinopteri, Salmoniformes, Salmonidae. The transcript has 2 exons. The record is from RefSeq and is a predicted model, not a curated record.